UUGGAGGGCAAGUCUGGUGCCAGCAGCCGCGGUAAUUCCAGCUCCAGUAGCGUAUAUUAAAGUUGUUGCAGUUAAGAAGCUCGUAGUUGAACUUCGAGGUUUACCCAUUGGUCAGGCUUAAUUGUCUGCACUGGUGAGAUGAAUCUCUACCUUCUGAGGAACUUUCAUGCCAUUUAUUUGGUGUGAUUGGAAAUCAGGGCUGUUACUUUGAAAAAAUUAGAGUGUUUAAAGCAGGC
Molecule: ribosomal RNA, 236 nt
Filed under: uncultured Glomus
Lineage: Eukaryota; Fungi; Glomeromycota; Glomeromycetes; Glomerales; Glomeraceae
Description: partial small subunit ribosomal RNA
Rfam family: Eukaryotic small subunit ribosomal RNA
Source: RNAcentral